Molecule: long non-coding RNA, 560 nt
Filed under: Homo sapiens (human)
Lineage: Eukaryota; Metazoa; Chordata; Mammalia; Primates; Hominidae
Description: HSALNT0096511
Source: RNAcentral
AGAGCAUAUCCCUUGCGCAGGAAAAUACAGGAGGCAGAGAGAGAUGUGACACUCACAGAAGAGAAGACAAUGUGAACACAAAGCAGACAGAUUUGAAGAUGUGCUAGCUUUGAAGAAUGCAGCGAUGUGACCACAAGCCAAGGAAUGCCAGCAGCCACCAGAAGCUGAAGAGGUCUGCUUCUUCCACUAGACUGAAAUUUCUUUUUUUUGAGACAGAGUUUCAUUCUUGUUGCCCAGGCCGGAGUACAGUGGCACGAUCUCUGCUCACUGCAACCUCUGCCUUCCAGGUUCAAGCGAUUCUCUUGCCUCAGCCUCCUGAGUAGCUGGGAUUGCAGGUGUGCGCCACCACAACUGGCUAAUUUUUUGUAUUUUUAGUAGAGACCGGGUUUCACCAUGUUGGCCAGGCUGGUCUCGAACUCCUGAACUCAGGUGAUCCACCUGCCUCAGCUUCCCAAAGUCCUGGGAUUACAGGCAUGAGCCACCGUGCCGGGCCUAGACUGAAUUUUCUUUGAGAACAGAGCCUGUGUCUGUUUUGUACAAAUCACAGGGCCGAGUACAGA